Molecule: ribosomal RNA, 547 nt
Filed under: Linnemannia elongata
Lineage: Eukaryota; Fungi; Mortierellomycota; Mortierellomycetes; Mortierellales; Mortierellaceae
Description: eukaryotic LSU rRNA
Rfam family: 5.8S ribosomal RNA (bases 95-248)
Source: RNAcentral
UCAGUCGAUCUUCUUCAUGGAGAUCGACCAAACAUCAACCUUUAUUUUUUAACUCUUUGUCUGAAAAAUAUUAUGAAUAAACAAUUCAAAAUACAACUUUCAACAACGGAUCUCUUGGCUCUCGCAUCGAUGAAGAACGCAGCGAAAUGCGAUACGUAAUGUGAAUUGCAGAAUUCAGUGAAUCAUCGAAUCUUUGAACGCAUAUUGCGCUCUUUGGUAUUCCGAAGAGCAUGCUUGUUUGAGUAUCAGUAAACACCUCAAAGCUUUUGGAUUUUUUAAUCGAAAAGCUUUGGACUUGAGCAAUCCCAACACCAAUCCUUUUGAGAUCGGUGGCGGGUUGCUUGAAAUGCAGGUGCAGCUGGACAUUCUCCUGAGCUAAAAGCAUAUUCAUUUAGUCCCGUCAAACGGAUUAUUACUUUUGCUGCAGCUAACAUAAAGGGAGUUUGACCGUAUUGGCUGACUGAUGCAGGAUUUCACAAGGGUCGGCAACGAUUCUUGUUAAACUCGAUCUCAAAUCAAGUAAGACUACCCGCUGAACUUAAGCAUA